CCUACGGGUGGCAGCAGUGAGGAAUAUUGGUCAAUGGGCGAAAGUCUGAACCAGCCAAGUCGCGUGAGGGAUGACUGCCCUAUGGGUUGUAAACUUCUUUUAUAUGGGAAUAAAAUGUUCCACGUGUGGGCUUUUGUAUGUACCAUGUGGAUAAGGCUCGGCUAACUCCGUGCCGGCAGCCGGGGUAAUACGGAGGAACCGGGCGUUAUCCGGAUUUAGUGGGUUUAAAGGGAGCGUAGGGGGAUUGUUAAGUCAGUCGGGAAAGUUGCGGGCUUAACCGUAAAAUUGCAGUUGAAACUGGAAGUCUUGAGUAAAGUAGAGGUAGGCGGAAUUCGUGGUGUAGCGGUGAAAUGCUUAGAUAUCACGAAGAACUCCGAUUGCGAAGGCAGCUCACUGGACUGCAACUGACACUGAGGCACGAAAGUGUGGGUAUCAAACAGGAUUAGAUACCCGAGUAGUC
Molecule: ribosomal RNA, 460 nt
Filed under: uncultured bacterium
Lineage: Bacteria
Description: partial 16S ribosomal RNA
Rfam family: Bacterial small subunit ribosomal RNA
Source: RNAcentral